This 344-nucleotide ribosomal RNA is filed under the name uncultured bacterium. RNAcentral describes it as "bacterial SSU rRNA". It matches the Rfam family "Bacterial small subunit ribosomal RNA", at positions 8 to 354 of the family's 1533-position model. The record is from RNAcentral.
AGAGUUUGAUCCUGGCUCAGAUUGAACGCUGGCGGCAUGCCUUACACAUGCAAGUCGAACGGCAGCACGGGGGCAACCCUGGUGGCGAGUGGCGAACGGGUGAGUAAUAUAUCGGAACGUGCCCUGGAGUGGGGGAUAACUAGUCGAAAGACUAGCUAAUACCGCAUACGAUCUAUGGAUGAAAGUGGGGGAUCGCAAGACCUCAUGCUCGUGGAGCGGCCGAUAUCUGAUUAGCUAGUUGGUAGGGUAAAAGCCUACCAAGGCAUCGAUCAGUAGCUGGUCUGAGAGGACGACCAGCCACACUGGGACUGAGACACGGCCCAGACUCCUACGGGACGCAGCAG